UGCUCUGAAUGGUACCUGCACUCAGUAGUCCCUCCCGCUGGCAGUGUGUUAGACAUUCACUAUCUGGCAUUGUUGGUUUUCUUGGCUUUGGUGUCUAUUAAACCUGGUAUUUCUAUUGAUACACUU
Molecule: small nucleolar RNA, 126 nt
Filed under: Nannospalax galili (Upper Galilee mountains blind mole rat)
Lineage: Eukaryota; Metazoa; Chordata; Mammalia; Rodentia; Spalacidae
Description: Small nucleolar RNA SNORA8 (ENSNGAG00000004804.1)
Rfam family: Small nucleolar RNA SNORA8
About the family: ACA8 is a member of the H/ACA class of snoRNA that guide the sites of modification of uridines to pseudouridines.
Source: Rfam by way of RNAcentral